AUUGUGCGGCUUCCCAGAGUGUUUCCCACGCAGCUCGGAGAUGGCAACGGUCACGGAGCAGGCGGUCCAGCCGGCAGCACACUUGGCAGCUCGCUCGGGGAGCGGACUUCCGCGCCUGGACAGAGAAAGAGCGCUCUUCCUACGGCCCACCUGAUUGGAAGUUCAUGGAGCCCGCUGAUUGGCUCCUGCUCCAUUGACCGCCCUCCGAGCUAAGAGUGACAGCGAAACCAAAUCCCUAACAGUGUGAGUGGACCCAAGUGACAGAUUGUAACCCAGAGACUUCUAGACCAGUGUCUCUGCCAGAAUGUCGCCUGACCUGCAUGUAAGCAGAGUUUGCUGUGGGCUUUGCAGGGAUGCUCCGGGUACCUGACUGGAUUCCGUGAGCUCUUCCUGUGCGUUGCUCCUGAAAGAAGGAUCACACGUGUGCGCAGACAUUUCCAGGGUCAGCAGCCAUGGAGGUGACCCCUGAUGUCAGGAGUCCAGGACAGCCUCGAAAAAUAAAUAAAUAUAUGCCAAAGAAUUUCUACUCAAGAAAUGAAGAAAGUAGAAUUAAAUGAAGGCAGUAUUCUACAGAGGAGUCAGGAUGAAAUAAAACCAAACAUUUCAACUGCUUCAGACAGGAUGUUUCUGCUUUAAAGAAAAUCAACCACACACUGCAAGAGUAAAUACAAGUAAACACAUAGAAUAUUAUGUUAUGUAUCAUACUCCAGGAAUUCUGACACAAGAACUUCUCAGGCCCUUGAAAACUCUGAAGUGAAAAUCCUGCACUUUGUGUGAUAAUCAGAUGGCUAGUGGUCAGGGUACUGUUGGUAGUUUCUCAUGAAAAAUGAUCUGAAAUCCAGAAAGACCAAGGAAUGCUCAAAAGCUGGAACUUGUGAAACUCACGUUUAUAACUGGGAAGUAGGUUGAAAGUUUAAGCCUCACCUAUUGUACCUGUGAAAAGCAGGAAAGAGGUUAAGACUUAGUUCAUAAUGAAAACAAAAAGCCUAUGUUUGUGUCAAUAUACCAGGAAAUUAUUCACUUGUAAGGGAGGCUAUUGUCUUCAUUCUAUGACAUUUAGCCUCAUCCUUGUCUAAACCUACAAGAUGCUAGUAAAUUCCACUCCUUUAUGCUGUGACAAAAAAAAGAGACACAUCUAUAUGUUUCCUGAGGACCAGAAUCCAUCCUGAUUGAAAAUCACUAACUGAGCAUCUAUGUGGGCUGAUUGAAAAGACACCCAGGUUGCUUCUCAACCAAGAGGAUUUCUCCAUUUCUCUACCUCCACACCACAAAUCAAGACGGGUCUUUCUUCCCAAAUUACUUCAACUCUGCCACUGCACCUCCACACUCCUUGUCCCACCCAUACGGGCUGCUUUAUAGAAUGUGGCUAGCUUGAGAAGGCCAAAGAAAAAAGAGGCCUUCACUGCUGCAGUGUGCUCUAUCACUGCUGUGUACUUUGCCACAAAGCCCUUGCAAUGGCCUUCUCCACAGAGUCAACCUGAAAACUGGUUGGGAAUCCCACGGCAUUCACAGAAAAUUCAGGGAUUGCAGGCUCUUCUUGAGCCCAUAACCAGGCUUCCUGCCAACCCUCCCUCCUCAGAGAGUGCACAGCUUCAGCACAGGAUGAGCAGCUUUUAGGCUUGGUGGACACUGGAUUGAAUGAGAUACCUUCACCUCCUUGCCAUCAAGGCAGGGUAUGAGAGGGGACAGGAGUUGCAAUAACAAAGAUUGUGAAGCCAGGGUUUUGCCCUGAGGUGUGAUAGCUAGAAGGUUUUCUAGAAUCAUGUUAAUUCUGACCUUACAUAAGAAGAGUGGUUGCUUUUGGGCAAUUCAGACACUAUUUAUCUUGUGGCAAAUUGGUUAGCCACGUGUCUCUGCUCAGACAACUUUAGUGCUAUCCUUUUUCUGGGUGAUGCAAUCCAGACAGUCUGAUAAGGGUGGUGUACCUGUAGCAGACACCUCUGCCCAGUAGUAUCAGGCUAUAGUGGUACAAGCUUCUUGCCCUUCCAUAAUUCAGCUGUGUUACACUGGGAGUAGUGCAAUCAGCUAAGUUCACUUCCAGCUGAGGUCAACCUGGCUCCGGCUAAAUUCCUCCCCUCUGGGACCAAAGAUAUGCUUGUGCCCUCAUUCUACAGUCCUGCCUGCUUGAUACUUGUUAUCAGCAGGUGUCCCGAUGCCUGCCCAGAUUCCCCUCUUCCCACACUUGAAAUGAAUAAACACUCGAUGCCCUGGGACUUCUUUGUCUUUCCUGCCCAGAGCAGCUUAGAUCAGCCCAUGACUCAGUUUCUCUCAAGUCUCUGACUCUGUGUUUCUUUCAAUUCCCACUUUCCUAUCUCACAGACUUCAAAUUGGCUUGCAGGAGGCCAGGACCACGGCAGGGGUCUCUGGCAACUCCCAUUACCCUUUCCCUAUAGUACCUAUGUGUUUUAAUAACAAUGAACAGAGUCAUGCCCCCUUAUCUGAGAGGUGUAUGUUUCAAUAUCCCCACUGUAUGCCUCCAGCAGUGGAUAAUAAUAAACCCGGUGGUGCUGGGAGUGAUGCACUGUAGAUCACGGAGGGUGUGGUGGAGCAAGGCCUGGCCCAGAAGAGGACUAUCUUCCUUCCCACCCAUUCCCCAGAGAAACCUCAAGCGUUAUCUCCUGCAGACCCUAGCCAUUCUCCCUGUUCCAAUCAGUCAUCCCCUUUUGGGUUCCUUAUCUACACUAUAAAUAAAGGUGCUGAGGAUUCGAGCCAAGCUUUUUGUCUCAUCUGGAGAAAGAGUUUCCACCUGGCCUCAGCUAUGUAAACUUUGCUGUCAUCUUUGUCUUCUUCUUUGUCUUAUCUUUAAGUUCCUUAAUCUCUUAUCAUAGUUUCUCACUCUGUGAACUCUUGAGCCACACAGCUCCUGUGGCACCAGGCUUCUUUUCUCUACAUACAUAUCUAUGAUAAAAUUUAAUUGAUAAAUUGUGCAUAGGUAGAUACUGUGAAGGUUCAACUUGGUGAAUAGAGGAGGAGCUAGGUCAGAAAGACUCAGAGAAAAUCAACUAGAAACAGGUGAUUUGAGCAGGGGAGGUACGUACACCCUGAUCCAAAGAACCAAUUUAAAGGAGACAUUUGUAGAUCAAACAAAACCUAUGCACAGGAGUUAAGAAGAGGGGGAGCUGUCCACCAGGGUUGGUAAACUGGCCCCUUCCCUCACCCACACCAGGGACAACCAUUCUGAGAACCUCUCAUAUAGCUGGAGGGAUCCGAGCAGCACAGAAGAGUCUAGUCCGAUGGUGGUGAACCUGUGACCAGGUUGCCCCAGCCAAGGUUUGACAAAUUAUCAGCUUGCCUACAACAGCUAAGAUCACCUUCACUGUGCAAAAGCACG
Non-coding RNA from Heterocephalus glaber (naked mole-rat), 3331 nucleotides. Lineage: Eukaryota; Metazoa; Chordata; Mammalia; Rodentia; Bathyergidae. The record is from RefSeq and is a predicted model, not a curated record.